UGGGUAUAGGUGUAAACCCUCUGCGGAAGGAUUCAUUAUCGAGCUAAAGACAAAAAGUCUCGAACCGUGCAUGCUUUCCAUAUGCGCGUAUACGUGAGCGCGCAGCAAGUUGCACACAUGUGGUGGUGGUGGCCGUCAGCCGUGCUUUUUUUGGCAGACAAUGGUCUGUAGCUUGCUGUGUGUUGAGGGGGGAUAGGUGACGUACUGGGCUAGUUAGAAAGGUACGUCGCUAGCGCCUAUCCACCCGUUAUUCGUAAAAACGGUAUCCACUUUGGCGUCUACGCCUCACCUAGCUAUUGCCUGGACCGUCGGUAGCUAUGAAAGGUGGGGAUAAAGCUCCUCGUUUCGAGUCGAGUAGACUUAAUGAGCCUCAGCUAGGAGGCCGCCGAAACCCAAACACAACCAGUCCUAUGUUUGAAGUGGUAGAAGGUGCUUCUCAUCACCCUUGUUGGUGGUGGAUCACCUUCAAAUCGAGUUAUAAAUCUUAGCGGUGGAUCACUCGGUUCGUGGAUCGAUGAAGAACGCAGCUAGCUGCGAUAAAUAGUGCGAAUUGCAGACACAUUGAGCACUAAGAAUUCGAACGCACAUUGCGCCAUCGGGUUCAUUCCCGUUGGCACGUCUGGCUGAGGGUCGAAUUAUCGACAAUCAUCCGUGUUGAGUAGCUUCGCUCUAGUGAUCGAAGCGUCGCUCAUGCGGUGUAUUCGGCGAGCUAUGGUUCUCUUCGGACCAUACCUUGCUUAGGCUAUGCCAUAUUACUCGCAAUCAUUUGCUCCAUGCGAGGCGAUGAUGGCCGUCAAGUGUUGCUCUCCGAUGCGGCUCCGAGCACGUGUUGCUUAUUGGUGGUGAUAUGUGAAAGGUUUGGGGCAUGCAUCGACAGGUGGUGUUGAGAGUGGUGCUAGGUGGUUGUCACUCUGUUUGACCUCAGCUCAGUCGGACAGACGUGGUGUCGGGCG
This 953-nucleotide unclassified non-coding RNA is filed under the name Hysterothylacium rigidum. Its description in RNAcentral is "sequence contains ITS1, 5.8S rRNA gene, ITS2 and 28S rRNA gene". The stretch from base 480 to 633 matches the Rfam family "5.8S ribosomal RNA". The record is from RNAcentral. Lineage: Eukaryota; Metazoa; Nematoda; Chromadorea; Rhabditida; Raphidascarididae.